UAUGAAACAUUUAUAAUAGGAGGAUGAGGGUGUCCCCUGUGUAUGGGUGCUUGAUCGGCAUGCUGGAAAGGAAAAUGGAGGAACUGGGAAUAAGUAUGCAAAUUUAGAGGAAUGGGGGUUUGCUUCUGAACUGUGAUCCUCAAGAUAUCAUGUUCAGAUUGUUAAUGCUGAUUGUUUUCGAAAUGUUGUCGUAUAAUAGACUUAAGGGGUUUUCUUGGAAGCAUUCUUGUGUUUAUGCAUCAAACGUUUUACACUGGCAUGCUUGUGUUUAUGCAUCUCUUCUGAUUGAGAUGUAUCGCUACGAACUUCUUGCUCUUAUAUGACAAGGGUAUAACGAUAUAAUCUAACAACUUGAUGUUCCUUUCACCCUCCUCCAUGGCCAUGCUGUAUGUUUUAGUUGGCAUUCAAUCUGUUUUUCUGGAAGAGUUCUUAUCAUUUUGACUUUUUCUUUCCGCGCGAUAAUCAUCUGACCUCGUUCUACAACCAGAUGUCUUUUCACUUGUUUUGAUCUUGUCACUGUUAAUUAUCGCCAUCCUUAUUAUUGGUCUGCUUUGCUUGGAACAGCGAUGCCAUGUGAAGACGGGGAAGGCCUUGGAUCAAAGAAGAGCGAACUGCGGCUGGUGGUGCGGUAGCCAAAACCCCUCGUCUUAGAGAAGCGAUUGCAUUAUCUAUUAGUUGUGUUUUGAGUCGGAGACAAGUUAUUGCUUGGUAAUGGAUUGGUAUGGUGGAUAAAACUGGAUCGGGUGCUCUAUUAUUGUUCCGAAUAGACAUGUAUGUUUGUUUAGAACAAGUUGUGUAUUUUUUUUUUUUACUUUCCAGUGUGUUGUCCAUUGCAAAACCUGUGCUCGACUCCGUUAGCAACGUGCCUGUGGUAUCGAUCUGCUGAUCAUAUUGAGGCAUUAGCAUUUGUUGCCAGGAGUAAGAAUAAGACAUUUAUUUUGAACAGUCAUCUAUAUGUUUGUGUUGCCCGUUGAGUAACAAGAAGAUACUUAUGGAAUUACAGAAGCACAACAUCAAUAUUGAAUGACCGUCAAGAAGAUAGUUAUAGAUUACAUGGUUGUAAUCCUUUGUCGUUCUUUACUAGAUGGUGUCUAUAUAUAAGCCCCCCCUGUUUUUCAAAACAGAAAAAGAUUUUGAUCUGGACACUGAAUUUCUGUUACCUUGUUGCAUAACAGAACGUCUUGCUUUAUUAUCAUAUUGGAUUUGUUAUUUAUCUCGAUCAGCUGAGAAUUAACUAAAUCUCAAUCAAUUCC
This 1253-nucleotide long non-coding RNA is filed under the name Triticum aestivum (bread wheat). RNAcentral's name for it is "long non-coding RNA (TAES_LNC011437)". The record is from RNAcentral. Lineage: Eukaryota; Viridiplantae; Streptophyta; Magnoliopsida; Poales; Poaceae.